Molecule: long non-coding RNA, 368 nt
Organism: Trifolium pratense (red clover)
Lineage: Eukaryota; Viridiplantae; Streptophyta; Magnoliopsida; Fabales; Fabaceae
Exons: 2
Source: RefSeq, a predicted model, not a curated record
CAUCCACAAUAAAUUUUUUAGUUAGCAUGAAUAUAUGAACAAAACAUGAGGCCAUGAACCAUUUAUUGUUACUUUGUUGUGAUUAAUUUUGUGUCUUUUUUCAUAGGUGAGACUCACUUCUUUUAAGGAUGAGCUUGUGCUUCACAAAGGGAACGACUUCAACGGAUCAGCUUUGGAGACAACAUCUGCAGCAAAAUAAAUAAUUUCAAAAUAUUUUCAAUUUUUUAUAAAGAAAAUUUUCAUAAAAACAAUCAUGUGACAUGUUAGACUAUUGAGAAUUUGUUGGUUCAAUAACUGAACUAAAACUUACGAAACUUCAUGUGAAGAACAACCAAAAUAAUACAAUAAAUAAACCGAAGCUUGCUAUA